RNAcentral lists this ribosomal RNA (253 nucleotides) under uncultured bacterium. RNAcentral describes it as "partial 16S ribosomal RNA". It matches the Rfam family "Bacterial small subunit ribosomal RNA", at positions 524 to 776 of the family's 1533-position model. The record is from RNAcentral.
UACGUAGGUGGCAAGCGUUGUCCGGAAUUAUUGGGCGUAAAGCGCGCGCAGGUGGUUUCUUAAGUCUGAUGUGAAAGCCCACGGCUCAACCGUGGAGGGUCAUUGGAAACUGGGGAACUUGAGUGCAGGAGAGAAGAGUGGAAUUCCACGUGUAGCGGUGAAAUGCGUAGAGAUGUGGAGGAACACCAGUGGCGAAGGCGACUCUUUGGCCUGUAACUGACACUGAGGCGCGAAAGCGUGGGGAGCAAACAGA